This is an unclassified non-coding RNA of Papio anubis (olive baboon), 287 nucleotides long. It matches the Rfam family "Metazoan signal recognition particle RNA". From Rfam's summary of the family: The signal recognition particle (SRP) is a universally conserved ribonucleoprotein. It is involved in the co-translational targeting of proteins to membranes. The eukaryotic SRP consists of a 300-nucleotide 7S RNA and six proteins: SRPs 72, 68, 54, 19, 14, and 9. The record is from Ensembl. Lineage: Eukaryota; Metazoa; Chordata; Mammalia; Primates; Cercopithecidae.
GCUGGGCACAAUGGUGCACACCUCUAGUCCUAGCUCAAGCAGGAGGAUGGCUUGAGCCCAGGGGUUCUGGGCUGCAGUGCACUAUGCCAACCAGGUGUCCAUACUAUGUUCAGCAUUAAUAUAUGACCUCCCAGGAGCGGGGGACCACCAGGUUGCUUAAAGAGGGGUGAACCGACCCAGGUCAGAAAUGGAGCAGGUCAAAACUCCUGUGCUGAUCAGUAGUGGGAUUCUGCCAAUGAAUAGCCACUACACUCCAGCCUGGGCAACAUAGUGAGACCCUGCCUCUA